Molecule: ribosomal RNA, 94 nt
Filed under: Aeromonas hydrophila AD9
Lineage: Bacteria; Pseudomonadati; Pseudomonadota; Gammaproteobacteria; Aeromonadales; Aeromonadaceae
Source: RNAcentral
CCUGACGGCAAUAGCGCCGUGGAACCACCUGAUCCCAUGCCGAACUCAGAAGUGAAACGCGGUAGCGCCGAUGGUAGUGUGGCAUUCGCCAUGC